This 207-nucleotide ribosomal RNA is filed under the name uncultured bacterium. RNAcentral describes it as "partial 16S ribosomal RNA". It matches the Rfam family "Bacterial small subunit ribosomal RNA", at positions 568 to 774 of the family's 1533-position model. The record is from RNAcentral.
AGCGUAGACGGAUGGACAAGUCUGAUGUGAAAGGCUGGGGCUCAACCCCGGGACUGCAUUGGAAACUGCCCGUCUUGAGUGCCGGAGAGGUAAGCGGAAUUCCUAGUGUAGCGGUGAAAUGCGUAGAUAUUAGGAGGAACACCAGUGGCGAAGGCGGCUUACUGGACGGUAACUGACGUUGAGGCUCGAAAGUAUGGGUAGCAAACA